UACGAAGGGGGCUAGCGUUGUUCGGAAUCACUGGGCGUAAAGCGCUCGUAGGCGGAUCUUUAAGUCAGGGGUGAAAUCCCGAGGCUCAACCUCGGAACUGCCUUUGAUACUGGGGAUCUCGAGUCCGGGAGAGGUGAGUGGAACUGCGAGUGUAGAGGUGAAAUUCGUAGAUAUUCGCAAGAACACCAGUGGCGAAGGCGGCUCACUGGCCCGGUACUGACGCUGGGGAGCGAAAGCGUGGGGAGCAAACAGG
RNAcentral lists this ribosomal RNA (253 nucleotides) under uncultured bacterium. RNAcentral's name for it is "partial 16S ribosomal RNA". It matches the Rfam family "Bacterial small subunit ribosomal RNA", at positions 524 to 776 of the family's 1533-position model. The record is from RNAcentral.